CAAACAAACUGCAAAGGGAAAACUUAAAAAGGAAAACGAUACAUUUGAACGAGCGUUUUCUAUUAAAGCCAAGAUGGGGCCAUAAGCGAAAUUCAAUUAAAAACUUUAAAAGCCGCCCAACAAUUUCCAACUGCAAUUAGAUGAGAGAAAACACACACAGAAAGUCCUGAUUGCAUUCAAAACGAGAUACGGUUGCAAUAUAUACGGAUACAUGAACGCAGCUGAGAUACAAAAACUUCGCUUUGGCAAACUUUUAGCUAUUAUGUAACAAAACGCAGAUGAAGGCUGGGAAAUUGCAAUCCAUACGCCCAACUCGCCAUUUUCUCAGCCAUCUGGCAUUUCUGGCUUAAAAAAAAAACGAGUUCCAUUUCUUUGCUAAUACAGGAAACUAAAGCUGUCCGAGUUU
Non-coding RNA from Drosophila melanogaster (fruit fly), 406 nucleotides. NCBI's taxonomy places the organism in Eukaryota, Metazoa, Arthropoda, Insecta, Diptera, Drosophilidae. The record is from Ensembl.